CCCCGUCCGUUGGGGUGCCGAAAGGCUGAGAGGUGCGCGUGCGCGCCAACCCAUCGAACCUGAUCCGGGUCAUGCCGGCGAAGGGAACGGUCUUCCGCUUGCA
Molecule: non-coding RNA, 103 nt
Filed under: Allobosea sp.
Lineage: Bacteria; Pseudomonadati; Pseudomonadota; Alphaproteobacteria; Hyphomicrobiales; Alloboseaceae
Also listed under: 1 other name
Description: Bosea sp. TPP sequence
Rfam family: TPP riboswitch aptamer (THI element)
About the family: Vitamin B(1) in its active form thiamin pyrophosphate (TPP) is an essential coenzyme that is synthesised by coupling of pyrimidine and thiazole moieties in bacteria. The previously detected thiamin-regulatory element, thi box was extended, resulting in a new, highly conserved RNA secondary structure, the THI element, which is widely distributed in eubacteria and also occurs in some archaea.
Source: RNAcentral